Molecule: ribosomal RNA, 515 nt
Filed under: uncultured bacterium
Lineage: Bacteria
Description: partial 16S ribosomal RNA
Rfam family: Bacterial small subunit ribosomal RNA
Source: RNAcentral
GAUGAACGCUGGCGGCGUGCCUAAUACAUGCAAGUCGAGCGAAUGGAUUGAGAGCUUGCUCUUAUGAAGUUAGCGGCGGACGGGUGAAUAACACGUGGGUAACCUGCCCAUAAGACUGGGAUAACUCCGGGAAACCGGGGCUAAUACCGGAUAACAUUUUGAACCGCAUGGUUCGAAAUUGAAAGGCGGCUUCGGCUGUCACUUAUGGAUGGACCCGCGUCGCAUUAGCUAGUUGGUGAGGUAACGGCUCACCAAGGCAACGAUGCGUAGCCGACCUGGGAGGGUGAUAGGCCACACUGGGACUGAGACACGGCCCAGACUCCUACGGGAGGCAGCAGUAGGGAAUCUUCCGCAAUGGACGAAAGUCUGACGGAGCAACGCCGCGUGAGUGAUGAAGGCUUUCGGGUCGUAAAACUCUGUUGUUAGGGAAGAACAAGUGCUAGUUGAAUAAGCUGGCACCUUGACGGUACCUAACCAGAAAGCCACGGCUAACUACGUGCCAGCCGCCGCAGUAA